Molecule: ribosomal RNA, 416 nt
Filed under: uncultured bacterium
Lineage: Bacteria
Description: partial 16S ribosomal RNA
Rfam family: Bacterial small subunit ribosomal RNA
Source: RNAcentral
UGGGGAAUCUUAGACAAUGGGGAAACCCUGAUCUAGCCAUGCCGCGUGAGCGAUGAAGGCCUUAGGGUUGUAAAGCUCUUUCAGCUGGGAAGAUAAUGACGGUACCAGCAGAAGAAGCCCCGGCUAACUCCGUGCCAGCAGCCGCGGUAAUACGGAGGGGGCUAGUGUUGUUCGGAAUUACUGGGCGUAAAGCGCACGUAGGCGGAUUAGUCAGUCAGAGGUGAAAUCCCAGGGCUCAACCCUGGAACUGCCUUUGAUACUGCUAGUCUUGAGGUCGAGAGAGGUGAGUGGAAUUCCGAGUGUAGAGGUGAAAUUCGUAGAUAUUCGGAGGAACACCAGUGGCGAAGGCGGCUCACUGGCUCGAUACUGACGCUGAGGUGCGAAAGCGUGGGGAGCAAAACAGGAUUAGAUACCCU